RNAcentral lists this transfer RNA (67 nucleotides) under Ictidomys tridecemlineatus (thirteen-lined ground squirrel). RNAcentral describes it as "Spermophilus tridecemlineatus (thirteen-lined ground squirrel) tRNA". It matches the Rfam family "tRNA". Rfam says of the family: Transfer RNA (tRNA) molecules are approximately 80 nucleotides in length. Their secondary structure includes four short double-helical elements and three loops (D, anti-codon, and T loops). The record is from Rfam by way of RNAcentral. Lineage: Eukaryota; Metazoa; Chordata; Mammalia; Rodentia; Sciuridae.
GGUUGUGACUCAGUGGUGGAGUGCUUGCCUAGCAUGCAUGAGGCACUGGGUUCGAUCCCUGGCACCA